AAAAUUACAAUAUUUCCUAUUUGUUAAUUUACACAACAUCUAAAGCAAAUCCUUGCAACAGUUCAGAAAUGAGUUCUAUGGGGUCUCAGAGCUAACAGGCGGUGAUACUGAGAGCCACAAUCCGCCUCAGAUGGAAGGCUGGUGCGCGUUACUGUGCCAUACCUGUCAUCUGAUUGCGUCUGUCUGACCUCACCAAUUUAGUCAGAAGUGUCAAAAAGGCUAGCAACAUGGCUCGUGCCAUGCUGGGCGCCCAGGAAACGCUCAGUGAAUAUGAGAUACACAGAAUGGAAUAAUACAUUUGGGUAAAAGCCAGGUCCUGGUUUUGAUGUGUUGUUCCAGGACACCAUUGUCUCUAAACCUGACUGAUGCUUUAUCAUCAUUCUUUCUUUCGACUCUGUGAGCCACUGAGCUUGUAGGGAAUUCCUCCGUGAAUAUAUAGGAGGCACCAAGAACUGGACACUAUCUCAUCCCUGCCUGUGAUUGAGCUUUGCCCAGAGCUCAAAGACAGAGUUUCGGAAAGAUCUACGUAGCCAAAUGGAAGAUUUUGUAUUCUGGUAGUUUUCCCAAACAGGUGGUUUUCCUAAGGCUACAACUUACACACCUGUUUUCUACCGGAUUCUCAAUCCAUGCUCAGCAGGUGUAUCCCAAUUUCUGUAAGACUGGGUCUUUCCAAGGCAAAUCCAUGAACCCACGGAAACACCAAAGUCAGUCUGCCUUAAGGUGUACACAGUGUGUUUUGGGGAGGUAGCGCACGAACGGCUGAGGGCUGGCCCCAAAGGGCACUGGAUAUCAUCUGAUGGUCCAGUGUGUCGUGCAUCACAGUUUAUCCGGGGGGCAGGCACCACCGCCCUGCUGUCCGUGCAGCCCACCAGGAUCGUAGCUCAGCCUAAUAAAAAUUAGAGGGACAAGGUUUAAUGAAAGGAAGAUUCUUUAUUUGUAAAGAGGAAAAGGAGAAAGGAGAACACAGGUAGGUACCCUGAUAAAGGAGGCCCUUUGUUCUCAGCUGGUUUAAUAGGGGUGAGUGACCCCCCCCCCCAGAACUGGCCAUAACCGGAUUGGCUUUGGGAGCCUCUGCCUAGUCAUUUCUUCCGGUGGUCUACAUGCAGCUUCUGUCCGUUUGUUUACUUGUCCUUGACCUACCUUUAAGGCCUUAUCUUUGGGGUGGGUGGCUAGUUGGCAAAGGGGUGCCUUAUUCUUGGCUAGCUUAGAGUUAGUAAGGGGCGUGUGGAUGUCUCCUGUACUCUAUAAUGACGCCAGAGUGAAUAACCCAUGACUCCAGAAUGAACACUCAUGUAUAUAAGUGUGUGUGUGUCAGUGCAUAGGUGUGGUUUAAAGUUAGUCAGCCCCCCACCCCUGCUUUGCUCCCCCUGUAUUUUAUUGAAGUUGGAGGUAGCUUAUCAUGUGUGGACCUCACUGUCUCUCUGUGUCCCGCUGUCAGCUCUUUUUCUGGCUCUUGGUGCAAGUCCCAAGGCCAUUUGGUGCCUUUAUCUGUUUUUCUCUCUUUUUCUACCCCAGUCUUUGACUUGCUUCCCAGGGGAAUCUCUCUAGCAAUGUCCGUUUUUAACUCCUAGUCAGGAGUGGCUAAAAGACCUAAAGAGGCCCCAGGUUUAUUUCCUCAUUGACAGACCCUGCCCCCACGGUCCCUCCAGAGGCUGCAGUCAGAGUGGCUUGAGUUAAGAGCCCAGCCUGGGCAGUGCAGUGAGAACUUCCCUAAAAAGAUGCUCAGCACAGUCUUCCUUUGAUGAAUGUGAAAUAAAAAAGUAAUUGAUUUGUCUGAUGAAUAAUGAAUAAGUGUAUGAAUUUUAAAGAUCACAGUGUAAAUGCAGUACAUAUGUUGAUGAUGUUGAUGCUCAGGAUCUCUCAUAGGCAUUUCUGAGAUGCUGCUUUCCUGGUGCCUAUGAGGGCGAAAGAGGGCAAAAAUACAGUCCUGUGGGUACUGGGAAGAGAGGGCAGUGCAGAGAGGGAUGCGGGUGGGGUAGUAAGAAGGCUCGGAAGAGGAGAGGACAACAUCUGCCUGGAAAGCAGGAAGUGGGCCGGUGACUCCGAAGGUUGAUCAUGAUCUUUGUUAGCUCUGGAAUCAUCUUUAUCUCACUUGUUACUCAGUAUACUUUGUUAAACUCAAAGUGCAUGUUUCAUGACUGAAGUCCCUUGUUUACCCGGGCAGUUCUAAGAGGCCUGCUUAGUCAUCUGGUGGUUGCUGGGAGCUGAUGUGCUCCUGAGCUGUGGUAAGGAGGGGAGGUGGGGCUGUGGCUGCCCAAGCCCUGUCCCGAGGAGGGUGCCUUCCCCAACAGCAAGGCCACCAAAACCUCGGGCAGGAGGGCAACAGGUGGUGUUGCAAUGCAGGCUCACCCCCCACCCUGUUCGAUAAGGUUUUGGGAACAGAACUGUGUUCUUUCCAAAAGUCAGGUCAGGAGUCUCUCCACAAUGUGCUUUCCCAAUCGGGCUUCUGUAAUGUCAAAUAAAACAAAGAACCUUGCCCCAGAUGAAACCAUCAGCAAAUACCUCUUUACUCUCCUGGGGACUGUGCUGUCGCACAUCAUCUUCCUGAAUUGUCUCUUCCCUCCAAAACAAGAGUUUAAUAUCUCAAUGAGAAUGCGGUGAUGGAAUUGAAGCCAGUAGUUCUGGAGCAGAAGAGGAGGCUGGUGCUACUGGUGGGCCCUGGAGCAGCAGGCUCAAGAGCAUAGGCUCCUCGGAUAUGAAGUUGGCUGUGCCACCAGGUCUUGAUUCAGCUUCCCCAUGACAUGGUGAUUAAGUGAGCUUCUGAAGAAAAGAGCUUCAAGGGGUGUGGAGAAGUCUGGAAUAAGUAUUUGGAAAACAAUUUGGAACAGGGGAAUUACACAGCGUUGUGGCACCAUUGUCCUGGGACUGAACUGUGAGUACCUGAUGACAUUAAUGAUCUGCUGCAGCUCAUCUCCACUUAUCCCACAUGAUCUGUCACUCAAUAUCCAGCCUCGAAUUUUCUUCUAGGCCAUCCCUCCCAGUUUCAAACAGGCUGGCUGGAGACUGUUGGCAGCCCUAGACUGUGCAUGAUCAGCGAAAUCCACAGAAUCUAUCAUUCUUCUGUGUAUACUUACUUGAUUAUUUUCUCUCAGUUUUCAUUGUCUGAAUUUUAGUGUCUGUUAUAAGUUCUGUGAGGUAAUGUGACCCACCCCUGGAAUCCCUCCACUGAUUACAGGGUGUGCUCUGCAAGUGAUGAUAGCUGCUUUUGGACAAUGAGGAGGACAGGAUUUUCUUGGCUCUGCCGGAACCUCACGAAGAAGACUUCUGUGUUGUACAAACUUCCACGUGGCUGGCUUGAUUUCAAAAUUUUCACAUCCAUUUUAUUCACCACACUGGCCUUCUCCAACAAGCUCCCUGUUUGAUGCUCUGUGUGAUCAGCUGUAAAACAGGAUUUAAAAAUCUGAAGUAGAAUAGUAUAAUUUUUUUUUUUUCAUUUUGUAAGUCAGUGGUUCAUUUUACCUUUAAUCACAAGAGAACAUGGUAAACAAUGUAUUUUGGUAGAGUUAUGAAAAAUUUAAAUUAUUUUAUACACGGUAAAGUGUUACACAAUGAAAAUACAGUGCAUUUUUGGGUUGGAACCGAGUUAUGUGAUGGGAGUUGGGCCUUGUGACCUUGCAUCUUUAUCAGCCCCUCCGCUGCACAGUGAAGUCAGCGCUGGCUUAGAAGUUGUGGACUACUUCGAGGUUUCAUUACUCUAUGGAAAAUCAGCGCUCAUCACUGUUAAAACUGGAUUUAAAAAAGAAAUGAAGGGAAAAACAACCACAAAAUAGAGCUUUUGCAAGCAGGAAGGGGACCAAGGGUUCCAGAGAGCAGGGAGGGAGGAGUAGGAAGGAGCUGGGAUGAAAGACCAGCAGAAUUACGAUUGGCCGUGUGCACGCGUCUGCUUCCCACAGUAAAUGUGAUCAUUGUGUACCGCAGACUGAACUGAUGAAAGAGGGAAGUAGAUCUCUAGAUCCUGGGAGAGGAUUUCCACACUGAUUUUCUCAUCUGAAACCCGGGAUUUAGAGCUGGGGCUCUCUGCGGAACCUGAUCCUCAGAGGGGCUGAAGCAGGCGGGAGCUGCCCGCCAGCGGGCAGCCUGAACGUCUCGUCCGCUGCCUCUUCAGCGCUCUGCCUGUGACUAAGCACGGUGACCUUUGCUCUGUGCUCGAGUCAGGGACGUCCGUGCCACGCGGCACACGGGUUUAUCACCCUGGCCGAAGGUUUCAACACAUACAGAGUUUUCGAUCCAAAGUCCGUCUUGUGUGUUUUCAGAAAGGAACCCGCACAUUUCUGCCCGCCUUCUCUCACUGCAGGCCGUAGGGCGUCUUCUGGCUGGCGGUGAUGAUGGGCUCCAGGCUGGGGCUGCCUGGGGACACAGGGACUUCAGGUAUCUGACUGGAGAAACAGAAACCCUGUCCGUUACGAUGUGUCCUAAGCCGGAGUAAGCGGAAAUACGGCAAUCUGAAGAUUUUUAUGGAAGCACGCUUCUUGCCCAAACAAUCCCUUAUAACCUCGCAACUUGAGGAUCUACUUAGAGAAAGCCUGGGUUACAAACAAAGAGGGCAAGUGCUAGGAUUAGGGUUAGGGAUCUGGACUAUACAUCACGCAGUUUCUUACUUAAUACCCAGGAUCCAGGUGCACGACUGAGACAUAAAUCAGAAUCUCCAAUGGCUCAGUCACCCUGCCUCCCACCCUCCCUCUUCCCAUGCAGAUAGCAACACGUAAGGAGCAUGAGCUCGUCCACACCCUGUGGGUGUUGCUGAGCUGCCGGUUCCUUUAGCGCGUCACGUAAACAUGAGCGGAAUAACAGGCAGAUCUUACCGGGGUGCCCAAAAAGGGGAACAUGGUUCAGAUGUCUGAAGUCUACUAAGCAACACUACUUGGAAGAAAUUUCACUUAAAGCCAACAGAAUGACACUAAAACCACUGUAGCGAGCACAUGUGUAAGAAAUCCAUUUGAGUCCAGGCCCCUCACUAGUGAAACUGGGUCUUACAGUACAGAGUGAUUUACCACUGGCUUUGAGGCCCAGUCCAGGGAUGCAGCUAACCUUUGGGCUACCUAGUCUGGGAAGGUGCCAGUUGACCUAAGAAACACCUGAAAAUGAAACCUACCCACAGACAUAGAAAUGUAUGCCUUCGUAUAUUUUGAUAAGAAAUCUUUGAAAACGAAAGUGAUACAAAUGACAAACAAUAAGCCUCAGUUCUAUUUUGUUCUUGAGAAGUUUACCAUCUAGUGGGAGGGCAGACAAAAAGUAGCAACUUAAAAAAUAAUUUAAGUGCUAAGGGUGCGUUGGGGGGGUCUCAGAACUCUCAAUUCAGACAGAAGGUGACGGUCAGAGAAGGGACUCUGCACUCCUCUUGUUUUGAAUAUGACGAUUGCCUUCCAAAUAAAUCAGACUCUUCCCAGAAGCACUCUGAAGGGCAUUUCUCUUUUCAUAAAUGCUCUCCUGCUACCAUUUGCAUCCUUGGUGAAUGGAAGAAAGCUUAAGAAAGACCCAAUGCUUGAUGUCAUUGUUUUAUUAUUUUUUAAAAAUUGUAUAUCCUUAAGGGGUAUAGUGUGAUAAUGCAAUACUUGUGUUGAAUAUGUAAUGACCAAAUCAGGGCAGAGUAACAUUUCAAUUUUCUUAAGCACUUACCAUUUCUUUGUGUCGGGAAACUUCAAAGCCUGUUAAGUUGUAGUUCUUUAUAAAAUACACAAGAAAUUUCUGUAAUCUAGAGAGUGCCACUCUCUUUAAGUGGUCUCAAUGACUUUUCUGCUGAAUUCAUACUUCUCCCUAUGUGUUCUUUUAUAACAAGCCAGUUCUUCCUUGUCUUAAAAACCAUGCCUCUGUUUGUCUUCAUAUAAUUCUAUCAUAGAUCUCUUUCUAGCCACCCAAACUGUUUAAAUUCUUGAGACAUUAUUUCUUCUGGAUGAUAAAGAAUGGCUUAAUGGCUCUUAAUGGCUUUUGAUACAGAUGUUUUUCUUUUUGGUUUACUUCAUUUCACUUGACUUUUGUUGUUUUCCCCUUCUUGCCUUCUACACACUUCAAGGUCUCCUGAAUAGUCAAUGCUCAAGCAGUGUGAGCUUGACCAUUAUUUCCAGUACAAGAUCCCACUUUAUAACAAAAACCCAGAAAUAGAUUGAUUUCCUAUAAAGUUAUCUGGGUUGAGUGAGAUUAAAAUUGGAGAGUGGGCUCUCUUUGGGACUGCAUGGAGAGCUCAGGCCCUAAAAGUGAAUGUAAUCUUCUAAUGCCUUGACAGAGCUGCUUCCAUGCCAUUGCUUAGGAUGGUUAUAAUCCACCCUGAGGGUCUGACUCAUGGCCAAAUGCAGCUGGAUAUCGGAAACCUCUUUUCCUUGUAUUAUUCUCAUUGGCAGUGUUCAUGUGUCUAUUAUUCCUCUUGACAGCAGAUGCUGAUAGGAAUCAGGAAUUACAAAGAUGGACUCCCUGAUCCAAGGGGUGUCUUCCUCACUCUUCCAUAUACUACAACAUCCUACACCCCCUUAGAGGGGAGUGAUUUUGUUGAGUAAGGGUCAUUCUUAAGGAUUUCUAGCCCAAGUUUGAUAAAAUGCAGCAUCACUUCAAUUAUUCUGGAAACGAGUGUGGUGGUAGGCAGUAGUGACUGUUUUGGAAGAAUACUUUCAAAAGCUACUUCCAGUUCAGAAAUAAAUACUUUGCACCAACUGAUAACGAUCAGACAGAUUUUCUUGUUGGAUCUGUUAAUGUCAUGGAUUGUCCCAACAGAUUUUUGAAACAGCUUUAUUGAGAUAUAAUUCACUUACUAUAAAACUUAUCCAAUUAGGCAUACAAUUCAAUGGUGUUUAGUAUAACCACAGAGGUGUACAACUAUUACCAGAAUUUAAUUUUACAAUGUCUUCAUGACUUCCAAAAGAAAAACUAUAUUCAACAGCUCUAUAUCACACUAAAUCUCAACAUUCACUCCAGCCCUCACCAACCAUAAAUCUACUUUCUGUCUCUAUAGAUUUUCCUAUUCUGGACACUUCAGAUAAAUGGAAUUGUGUAAUAUGUGAUAUUUUGUGACUGAUUUUUUUCAUUUUGUAUGCUGUUUUUAAGGUUGCUCUAUGUUCUAGCAUGGUAUCAGUAGUUUAUUCUUUUUUAUUGCCAAAUAAUUGUCCAUUGUAUAGAGAUAUCCAUGCUUUGAUGGAUAUUGAGUUAUUCCCACUUUUCCAUUAUUAUUAAUAAUGCUGCUCUUAACAUUUGUGUAGAAGUGUUUGUGUAGACCUAAAUUUUCAUUUCUUGUGGGUGGAUGAUUAGGAGUGAAAUUGUGGAGUCAAAUGGUAAUUGUAUAUUUAACCUGUUAAGAAAUGACAAUAAGUAGACAAAAGUGAGAACUUUUCCCAAGAAAGUGUUGAGGAUGAUCUGGGAAAGGAGACCAUGCUUGGGAGUGAAGGGGGCAGUCUCCACCUAGGCUGAUUUAACUCUGAUGCUCCGGAUAUCAAGGAUGAUAAAAGAAUACUUCCUAGACAACCCUUAGUAAACAAAAACUUUAAUCACAGCAUCCUAGGAUAUUUGUCUGUUUCAGACAGGAGAGUAGGUAGAUUUCCUAUUCAUGUCAGUCAGUUUUAUAUGACAGGUCUUAGAAACACCUGGGGGAAAUCAUAUGGAUUCCAGAGCCUACAGUCAGAUCUGGAUCUUGUAAAGCCAUGCUGUGCAGUAUAAUGACCACUAGUCACAUGCAGUUUGCAAAAUUAAAUUAAUCAAAAUAAAAUUUAAAAUUUCACUCUUAGUCUCAUUAGGCAUAUUUUGAUCGCUCAAUAGCCAUAUGUAUGGUGCUUGUGGCAUCGCUGUUAUUGCAGCAAGUUCCAUCAGACAUUGUUUCAAACACUAAAGCGAUAGCUCUCAACUGGUGAUGAUUUUAUUACCCAGAGGCAUCUGGAGCUGUCUAGGGACAUUUUUCUUCCUACAACUCAAAGGAAGUAGGUGCUGCUGGUCAGGGAGCGAGGCCAAGGGUGUUUCUAACCAUCCUACAAUGCAUGGGACCUCUCCAAAGUUGGCCAUCCCAAAGUGCUAAUAUUCCCAAGGUUGAGUUCUAAAACAACAAUGCCUAAGCUUGAUCAGCUUUCAUCAAAAAGAACAACAACAAAAUAUAAACUGGCAAACUUUUAAAAAUCCUUAUGCCUUGUCCCACACUGAAGAGUCUGGUUAUGGAACAUGAAGAAGAUUAUAGGAUCUGUAUUGUUCAAAAGCUUUUCAAGAGAUGCUUUUAACUGGGUAGAUUCAAGAAUGGCUGCGUUAAAGUAGAUUGAUUUUCAACUCUCAGUGCAGAAGAAAAUCACCUGCUAAACAUUAGCAGUACUCCCAGAAGAAGUUAAUGACUCCAAGGCCAUUACUCCUUCUGUUUAAUUUCUCCAAUUACCUAUCUUUCAAUUAAUGGGGUCAUUAGGCACUUAAGAAUUGCAUUAAUUUCCCUGUUCUCUCUUUCAGUUCUCCCAUUCUGCAUAAACCUUCAAACAAUUUGCAAAUGAUUACAUCUUGUUAAAUAUUAUACACUUUCUGUUUACAAACAGAACAAACAACCUAGAAAAUGUUUGGCAGCUGUCUUUGUUCAUUGGUCUUUACUAGGAAAUAGCUGAGCAAACAGGAAUGCUAGCCGUUAAGGUAGCACAGCAAGGCAUAUUAUAGUCCAUUCAUUUGCUACCAAAUAACUUAAAACAGGUAAGUGGGGUUCAUUUUAAAUGGUUGAAGUUGCAUAAUAAUUAAUAAUAAUACAAUUCUGCUUAACUGCAAAAAUGUUUCAAUGAAUUAACUUUAGCAUUAAUUUUUUUUUUUUAGUGUUAAUAUUUUUCUUUCUGCUUUCUAUCGCAUUGUAAUAAGUUACACAAAGGGAAUAAACCUUGCUCUCAAGACUUAAAAGGUACUCUACUAGAGUAACAGAAAUGAGGAAUAAGUACAAGUAUCUGUAAGAAAAGAUCUUAAAUGUUCUUAUAGGAAAUACAAAUUUGAGAGGAAGAGAUACUUUCUCAUGGAGACCUGGGAAAUUUCCAUUAGAAGUCAAAGUCUCUUUAGCUUUCUCUUCACUUAUCAGUAAAUACUAGCUGUUCUCCACUUUAGGCCAGGUUUUGUUGUCAGCUUUCCCAUUGCUGGGUCAAAUAUCUGAUACCUGCAACUUACAGGACGUGCUUAUUUAGCUCAUGGUUUCAGAGGUUUAAGUCCAUGGCUGCUGGCUCCAAGAAAGAUAGUAUGGUGGAAAGGUAUGGUGGAGGAAAGCUGUUUAGUUCACAGUGGUCGGGAAACAAAGUGGGGGAACAGUGCCAGAAAGGAAGGGGCCCAGGACCAAUUAACAGACCCUAAACUCAAGCCUCUGUGGGCCGCCCAGGCACACACAGAAGUGUGCUUUCCUAAUCCUCUUGCUAGCUCCCAGGCCAAUCCAGUUGACAAUUAAACUUCCCCAUUACACAAGUUUACCACACCAGGGGCUGAGGCUAACUAGACACUCCCUGCCCUCCUAGAAGGAGCUUUCUUGCAGCUGGCCAGUCAGUUAACAGCUAUUUAUUGCAUAUCUACUAUGUUAUCUAUGUAUCUACUAUGUGUUAAGAUGUGAAAGGACACUGUAUAAUUAAUUCCUGGCUGUGUGGGUUUUUGUUUUAUUUUUUGGUACCGGGGAUCAAACUCAGGUCCUUGUGCUUGCACCGCAGGCGAUGAAACCACUGAGUUAAAUCCCGGCCCCUGGCUGUGUUUUUAAUCACAUUGAUUCUUCUAAACACAGGCAUUUCAUUUGCAAAGACACCAUCAGAGGGCACUCAGUCACUAUUAGCCGCAAAUUAUUGUGCUAUAGAACUCAGAGAAGGUAUUGAAGGACAUGCUGCAAUUGUCUAGGGGGCAGUAGUCUUAACUCUGGUCUCCUGCAGAAAUCAGUAAAGGGGUGUAAUUGAGAAUUUACUGACAUACUUCUUAGUUUAUUAAUAUGUGUGAGAAAAAUUUCUGCUCAAACUCACAUGGGUUGGCCCUUAUCUAUAAAACUUACAGCUAUCUGAAUUGUGAAAUUAUUCAGGAAUAUGAUCACUAUGUAGUGCAUUUUGUUGCAUGAAGUUCAUAUUAAUGGGUGGCUUUAAUUAAUGCUCAAAUUAAGUUAUAAAAUAUUUAAACAUACUAAAGUGCAGAAAAUAGGUGCCUACAGAUAAUUAUAUAUAACAGCUGCUCUACAUGCCUAAAAUUGUUUGCUUUUUUGUCUUCAUCUCUCUUUGUCAUUUUCAAAUGAAACAGAGCAUUAAAGAUAUACCUAAACUUA
This is a non-coding RNA of Heterocephalus glaber (naked mole-rat), 10207 nucleotides long. NCBI's taxonomy places the organism in Eukaryota, Metazoa, Chordata, Mammalia, Rodentia, Bathyergidae. The record is from RefSeq and is a predicted model, not a curated record.